AACACGUAUGCAACUUGCCCAUAACUUGGAAAUAGCCCGAAGAAAUUCGGAUUAAUGUCCAAUAAUAUGAGUGUACCACAUGGUACUCUUUUUAAAGAUUAAUCGGUUAUGGAUAGGCAUGCGUUCUAUUAGGUAGUUGGUGAGGCAACGGCUCACCAAGCCAACGAUGGAUAGGGGAACUGAGAGGUUGAUCCCCCACACUGGUACUGAGACACGGACCAGACUCCUACGGGAGGCAGCAGUGAGGAAUAUUGGUCAAUGGACGAAAGUCUGAACCAGCCAAAUCGCGUGAAGGAAGAAAGUAUUAUGUAUUGUAAACUUCUUUUGUAAGGGAGUAAAGUG
This 342-nucleotide ribosomal RNA is filed under the name Azobacteroides pseudotrichonymphae (SeqCode). Its description in RNAcentral is "bacterial SSU rRNA". It matches the Rfam family "Bacterial small subunit ribosomal RNA", at positions 112 to 453 of the family's 1533-position model. Lineage: Bacteria; Pseudomonadati; Bacteroidota; Bacteroidia; Bacteroidales. The record is from RNAcentral.